Molecule: non-coding RNA, 1462 nt
Organism: Camelina sativa (false flax)
Lineage: Eukaryota; Viridiplantae; Streptophyta; Magnoliopsida; Brassicales; Brassicaceae
Source: RefSeq, a predicted model, not a curated record
CGUGUACUAAAGAAAAUAGAAGCAAACCUCUAAGUGUUUUGUCUUUAUGCUUCUUCGUUGUCGUUUUUCUAUUUCUCGAUUUGUUCUUCUUCUCCAUCGCCGAUUUGAGUUCACGACGGAAGCUGCCUCCUUCACAUUGACUCGGACUUGGUCUUUGCUAUCUCUUUCUCUGAUUGUCACUGAUUUCUCUGAUUCCAAUCUUUGUCGAACACGCUUUUAAUCAAUUGCUAAAUUUAUGUUCUUCGUCGCCGUGAUACCAACCUUCGACGACUGUGUUGUUCAUCCCAUCGCUCUCUCUACCAAUCUGAGCAGAAGGUUUUCGAUUAGAUGGUGGCCGAUUCAAUGAGAUUCAAAACAAGAGCCUACGAAAAAAAGAACGAUCAUGCAUUGGUAUGUAUAUGCUUUCUUGAGUUGCCAGAGUUUAUGCAGGAGGUUUUUUCUAUGUGAUAAGUUCCCUUAACUGAUAAAUAAAGAUGAAUCGGCAUCUCUCUUGGCUGAUUUUAAUUACUGAUAGGUUUCAGCGAUGGAAAUAGAACACUUUCUUCAUCUGCAUAACGAAAUGCUCCCCCUUGUAUCGUCUAUAUUCAACAAAUUGGUGGGUCUGCAGUUUCACGUUUUAGUUUUCGCAUAGGUUCUAUACUAUAUCUUAAAAGGUUUAGCUAUGAAGAUUUUUAGACAUAGUUGCCUUUUAGAAUUUAACCUCAUUAUAAAGAAAGGUGAAAUUCAGUUGCACAAAUUCAUGUUUUGGAACCACCAUGUCCUCGAAUUAUCAGCUCAACUAUGGUGUCUGUGCUUCUUGGUUGCUGAAUACCCAUUCAUUUUAUGAUAUGUCUUUAAUAUGUCUUAUACAAUUUAACCUCUAUUUAUUUUUUUUUAUUUCGUGCACCACUUUUGUUUGGCAUCUCUAAGUUACAACCAUCUUAUGAUCCAAUUGCGUCCAAUAAGGGAAAGACCAAUCAGUUUUGUCAUCCAGAUUCGAGAAUCGAGCUAUAAAUGUUUCAAUGCAAGUAAUCGAGCUAUAAAUUUAGUCAUAUGUUUAGCUAUAAAUGUUUGUGGUGUUGGAAAGGUUAUCUAAAUUCUCUUAUUUAGUUUUUGGUUCUCUGUUUCAGAGGUUGCAGAGGUUAUUUUGUUUUUGGUUCUCUUAUUCUCUUACAUGUGGUGUUUUUAGUUAUGUUGUUGUAGAGGUUUUACGAGCUUGUUUAUGGUCAGAUCACUUUUGAUGGAGUUGAGUUCAAGACAUUUCAAGUGAUAUGGUUUAGAAAACAAAGCGGAUUGGUGUGUUAAGAAUCUGUUUUGUUCAAUGAAACAAUCAGAGCAAACAUUACUUAUGGUAAAGGAGGAGAUGCUACUGAAAUCAAAUCGUAUUUGCAGCUGACCUAUCUUACGCUCAUGGCUUCAUUGUGGCCUACAAUAGGUAACAUAAACCGGAAUAAUCGAACCUAAUAAACAGAUUGUCUAGCCC